AAAACAAUAACGGACACAUUUUGAUAGGUGCCUAUCAAAAUGCUGGAGAUUAAAAAUACUUUAUACACAGAGCUGGCAGCCUUGUACAUUGGUAUCUUUUGGGGAAUGAGUCAAAAGAUUUGUCAUUUUGUUUAUCAUUGAAAUAGCAAUUCUAGCAACUGAUCUUUAAGAAACAGUCACAAAUGUUUCCAAAAUACAGAUUUGAUCCAAAUAAUUUUUUCCAAUAAAAAAAUGUUUCCCCAAAUUGGGAAUUGGUUAAGUAAAUUACAAAAUAGCCGUAAAAACCCUUUAUACACGAAUUUUCAGAACAAUAUCUGAUGUGAACAAUAUACCGUAUAUCUUGUCUAGUAAAAAAGCAGUACAUCGCACAGUCAUUUCUUUUUGGGUCAAAAAGAAAAUGUACAGGGGGGAAAAAGAGGAAAGAUGUACACAUCAAGUGUGAUUGGUGGUUACCUUUAAGUCUGGUCUCUCUAUGUUUAAUACAUUUUCUUCAAUUAGCAUAUAUGCUGUGGGAAAAUAUUUCAAUUGUGUUUUUACAAAGUUGGCAACCAGCGUGAGCAGAUAAAAUGAGCCGCACUCUUUGUAUGGCCUGUCACCCCUCCACAAAGGGGUGAUAUUAUUUUGCUGACAUCCCUGAAGACCACUCAAUCUCAUGUUGCAAAUCUGGCCACGAUGGGGACCAAGCCCAGGCAAGGAGAGAACUGCAAACAUUUCAAGGGCGAACAUUUUCUUGGCUUCCAGGCUCAGAGGAAGGAGGCAAUGUCUUCCGUGCAGAGGGACAGGAGAGCUCAGGAAUGCAAAUGCUACAGUAAUAUUUUGCCCACAGAUUCAGAGAGAAAAAUCCAGCCCAGGCAAGACGCUCCCUUGCUCUGUCCUCCAUGGGGGCGAAAGAGCAGAGACAAAGGAAUGGAGCUCCACUUCCUCCUCAGGGAAAGAGAAAAGCUUGAAAUUGUGAGUUUUCCCAGGCUUCUUCUGGGAUGCCAAGGAAGACUGAAUUGCAUAAUCUCACAAAAAUGUGAGAUGCAACCUACGCCUUCAUAAACUAAUAAUAUAGAGUCGAGGGAUUAGAAACACUGAGAAACAUGUGUGUGAUUUCCUGACCUGAGCACAAUUAAAGACGUUGAUUGUGAAAUCUAAAUGCCUCCAGAACCAAAGAACUACAGACCCAAGAAACGUAACUCACCAUGGAGGGAUCCUGAUGUCAUAUCGGGUUCUUUUGUAAGAGCUCUCGGGGAGAACCCAGAGACACGUAGGAGUGUCUUUUCCAUUAAACUCAGAAGGUCCAUAUUGGAAACCUUGCCUGUUCUUCCAACAGAGAGAGAUUGCAUCGAAAGGCAAAGCUAGCUUUUAAUAUAUUGCUAUUUUAGAGAUUUCCUUCUUUCUCUGUAUUUGGUUUGUUUUAAACGUGUUGAUUAUUGGCUGUUGAUGAGCAAAGCACUGGGCUCAGAGCAGAGCUGCUGGGCUUGGAACCGUAGCCAAAUGCUCCAAGGGCCUCCUCAGCAGCACCUGCCUGAGCAACAUGAAGGAGUACAGAUGUGUGGCCUGGCAACUCUGGAAGGAAGGUUACCCAAGGGGCAGUGUUCUAUUAAAUUGAACACUGUUCAUUGGGCACGUCCUUGUGUCACAUCACUGUGUUAGGGCCAUACAUUGGGAAGGCAAAGGUAAGUGUGACAUAGCUCCUGCCCAUAAGAAUGUCACAAUUUUUUUUAAAAAAGAUGUUAUUUAUUUUUUUGAUCAAGAGAGAGGGAGAGAGAGAGAGAGCACAUCAGUGGGGGCAGAGGAGUGGCAGAGAGAGAAAAGGGAGCCAAAUGCAGAGCAUCCUGGGAUCAUGACCUGAACCAAAAGCAGAUGCUUGCUUAACUGACUGAGCCACCCAGGCACCCGAAGAAUGUCACAAUUUGAUAGGAAUAUAAUUAAAUUAAAAUUAAAUUUAAAAAUUCAAUUCAAUUAAAAAAUUGAAUUCAUUCAUGUGCUAAAUUAGCAACAUGAACAUUAUUUUUUUAUGCAGACUCCAGGGAUAAGGGAGAGCUUUAAAAAAAAUUCUUCAUCAAAAUCAUAAUCCAAGAGAAUUUAUCUAGACUUAUUACAAGGAUCUCUGUCUCUGGACCCCCUAAGCCUGUGGUGCUCAAAGUAGAUGUGGGUACCCUAACUGUGCAGAUGCAGAAAUGAAAUAUGAUAACAUAUUCGUGCUUUUAAAUGUAUUCUUUUGAAUUUUAUUUUUUUGUAUGUUUUAUAACAUGACAUAAUGGUUCAGUAGUAACUUUAUUAUUUACAAAAAUAAUGAACUAUGUUGGGAGGUGCGUGCUCAGGAAAGCUCGACGUGAGAAUGUGAACGGAAGUUUGAAAAUGAUUAAACUCAGUUGUCCCCCAUCAUCCUCAAGGCCGUGGAUCAUCUUCCCUGAGGCGUCUGGGUAGUUUGGCUGCACCUUAGCAACUGGAAUCUCACCUGACCAUCUCUAUCACCUCUGCUAAGUGGAGAAGACCCUCCAAUUAUUGGCAUCCUUUGCAGGUUCCCUGUCAUUAUAUGACUUUCCCUCUGCCCCCCCCUUUUUAAAGAUUUUAUCUAUUUAUUUAUUCAUGAAAGACACACACAGAAAGAGGCAGAGAUAUAGGCAGAGGGAGAAGCAGGCUCCAUGCAGGGAGCCCAAUGUGGGACUCGAUCCUGGGACUCCAGGAUCAUGCCCUGAGCCGAAGGCAGACGCCCAACCACUGCUGAGCCACCCAGGGAUCCCUCCCUCCACCUUUUUAUGUCAUAAAUGGUUAAGGAGGCAGACGCCCAGGUAGGUGAGGUAACUCAUCCAGCAUUAUAGAACUAGUAUUACUAAGGUGCUUUCUGGCAAAAAUUAAGGAAGAAAACAAAACAAUGCUGAUAUUGGCUGAGAUGAUGGACUAGUUAGAAACUGGCCAACAUUUUAAACAGAAAAGCAAAAAUCACAAAACCUGUUGGUACAAGAGCUAUAAAAGCUGUGAGGUAAAGGAGGCACAGGGUAAAUGAAUCAGCACAACUCAUGGCUACUUGUGGAAUUCGGUGGUCAUACAGGCCCCGUGAAAAUCCCCACUUUGCCGCUCAGUACCUGUGAGAUCUGAGCUAUGACUGGACACUCACAAGUGUGUCAGUUGCUGCUCUUGAGCUACAAGGAAUAGAAACCAGCUCUGGCUAACAUAAGCACUCCCCAAAAGAAUUUUUUGAGAGGGAAUGGGAUCAUUCCUAGAAUCCAAGGGAAGAGCUGGAGUGCAGGCCCUAGGAAGGAUAACAUCUAGUGCAGUUCCUGGGACCCUGGCAGUGACGUGGAGCCUCUUGCCUCUCGGGACUGGGCUCUGAAAACUCCACCAUAACUGCCCUUGGGUUCUGGAAUGUACAUCCACUCAGAAUCCUAAAUUCUCAGGAUGGAUAUUCCAACUGGCCUGUGUUAGUCCCGUGCCUAUCUGUGUGGUUCUGUGAUUGGACAGGGCUGGGAUUUAAACCCUAGGAGCCUUCAGAGUGGAAGAAAGGCUGGUGCACAAAGGAAGGAGGGCAGAGCCAGACAAAAAAACUGGGCACGUCUACCACACUGAGGUUCAGUUACCUCCUGGGAAAUGGAAAUGAAAAUACAGAUCUGGGAGGGGUUGCGUUGCAAUUUAAUCGAACAAGAUAAAGUUUACAAAAUCCUCAGUACAAGGCCUGACGCUUAGUAAGCAUUCAAUAAAUACAAAUAAAAUUUUUAAAUAAAAUCA
RNAcentral lists this long non-coding RNA (3714 nucleotides) under Vulpes vulpes (red fox). Its description in RNAcentral is "lncRNA (ENSVVUG00000012725.1)". The record is from RNAcentral. Lineage: Eukaryota; Metazoa; Chordata; Mammalia; Carnivora; Canidae.